GAGACACUAGCUCAGUAGGUAGAGCACCUGACUUUUAAUCAGGUUGUCGGGGGUUCGAUUCCCCCGUGUCUCA
This 73-nucleotide transfer RNA is filed under the name Lachnospiraceae bacterium. Its description in RNAcentral is "tRNA-Lys". It matches the Rfam family "tRNA". From Rfam's summary of the family: Transfer RNA (tRNA) molecules are approximately 80 nucleotides in length. Their secondary structure includes four short double-helical elements and three loops (D, anti-codon, and T loops). Further hydrogen bonds mediate the characteristic L-shaped molecular structure. tRNAs have two regions of fundamental functional importance: the anti-codon, which is responsible for specific mRNA codon recognition, and the 3' end, to which the tRNAs corresponding amino acid is attached (by aminoacyl-tRNA synthetases). tRNAs cope with the degeneracy of the genetic code in two manners: having more than one tRNA (with a specific anti-codon) for a particular amino acid; and 'wobble' base-pairing, i.e. permitting non-standard base-pairing at the 3rd anti-codon position. Lineage: Bacteria; Bacillati; Bacillota; Clostridia; Lachnospirales; Lachnospiraceae. The record is from RNAcentral. RNAcentral also lists the same sequence under 1 other name.